This 208-nucleotide ribosomal RNA is filed under the name uncultured bacterium. RNAcentral describes it as "partial 16S ribosomal RNA". It matches the Rfam family "Bacterial small subunit ribosomal RNA", at positions 568 to 774 of the family's 1533-position model. The record is from RNAcentral.
CUCGUAGGCGGUUCGGUAAGUCGGGUGUGAAAACUCUGGGCUCAACUCAGAGACGCCACCCGAUACUGCUGUGACUUGAGUCCGGUAGGGGAGUAUGGAAUUCCCGGUGUAGCGGUGAAAUGCGCAGAUAUCGGGAGGAACACCAGUGGCGAAGGCGGUACUCUGGGCCGGAACUGACGCUGAGGAGCGAAAGCGUGGGUAGCGAACA